This 450-nucleotide unclassified non-coding RNA is filed under the name Hevea brasiliensis (rubber tree). The record is from RNAcentral. Lineage: Eukaryota; Viridiplantae; Streptophyta; Magnoliopsida; Malpighiales; Euphorbiaceae.
UUAACACCUCCAGUACCACCAGGAGUUGCUCGAUGCAAUUCAUGCUCAACAAUCAAAUUAAUAGGGGCCACACCUUCCUUAAAAUAGUUUCCUACCUGUAGGAAACUAUUUUUAAAAAGGUGUACUCAGGAGCAGGUGCAACACCAAGAACAGCUCCAGUUCCUAUAAGCAAUGGCCUGAUAUACAAGGAACCCUUACCUGGAGGGGGAACCCAACGUUUGUUUGCUAAAACAGUUGCUUUCACAGCUUCCACAAACUGUUCAACUGUAGGUNGAUGGCAUGCACAUCCUUUCUGCACCUAUUUUCAUCCGCAAUGCAUUUUCUUCAGGACGAAACAGGAGAAUAUUACCAUCUUCUUUCCUGUAGGCUUUCAAGCCUUCAAAUAAUCCCUGGCCAUAGUUUAAGACACCCGCUGAGGGAUUCAACUCAAUAUUCCCAAAUCGUUGUAAU